This 886-nucleotide long non-coding RNA is filed under the name Homo sapiens (human). RNAcentral describes it as "HSALNT0183684". Lineage: Eukaryota; Metazoa; Chordata; Mammalia; Primates; Hominidae. The record is from RNAcentral.
AUUUGCUGUUGAAUUAAUUAUUCACUUUGAGAAAAAUUCACGGGGAGUGCUAGUUGAGGCCAAACCCUAUGAUCAGUUUUGAAAACCAAACAUCAAAUUAGAAGUGAUGCUACCUUCUUUUAAUAUGUUCAUCCAAUCAUUGGGAUAUCUUUUUUCUUUCCCUUAUAUUUCCCCAGUUAGUCAUUAUUCAUGCAUCACAUUUAGUCAGGAACUCCACUUGAGGAGUUCACAUUUAAGAUCUAAAAACUGCUGUAUAAGAAGAAAAAUUACAGUUGAGCAUGGCAAGUAUUAUGACAGAGAUAUGAGGAAACGACUGCAAAGUGCAGAGCAAAUAUUGUGAGAUGAUUAGGAGGCAUUCUCGCUGUACCCCAUUUCUUCCGCAGGGAUAAAACGCUGGAAUGUAAACAGCUAACAACAGCUAACAUAAGCUGCAGACAUGGUGCACAGAUAAAUUACUACAAAAAUCAUUGGGUUACAGGAUCAUACACAUUCGGUAUUCGAUAAUUUAUCAAUGGCGUGAAUAGCAUUUGUUAAAUGAAUGAGUACCAUCAAGGCAGUUAAAACUACAAGUGGCCAAAGGACCACACUGUACAGUUGAUGACAGGCUAACACAGACCUGUUGGAGAGGAGGGAGCGACACCUAUAAUGUCAAGGCUGGUUAGGAAGCUGGUUAUGAAGUCUCAGUCCCACAUAGGAUUACUGAGCAUAUCACCUUUCACUGGCUCUAACACCACGAGCCUUGCUGAUGAGGGAAAGAGAAGCUCCAUCUGGGGGCAUGCGCUGCAGCUGAGGCAUGGAGGGGUAGGCGGAGCUUACGAGUGGACUUGCUGAAUAGACCCCAAGACUAGGCUUCUCCAGAGAAGGCUAACACUCUGUGAUGUAGGAU